GGGAGCGUGGCGGAACUGGCAGACGCAGGGGACUUAAAAUCCUCCGCCUCCGGGCUUGUGGGUUCGAGUCCCACCGCUCCUACCA
RNAcentral lists this transfer RNA (85 nucleotides) under Candidatus Aveggerthella excrementigallinarum. RNAcentral describes it as "tRNA-Leu". It matches the Rfam family "tRNA". From Rfam's summary of the family: Transfer RNA (tRNA) molecules are approximately 80 nucleotides in length. Their secondary structure includes four short double-helical elements and three loops (D, anti-codon, and T loops). The record is from RNAcentral. Lineage: Bacteria; Bacillati; Actinomycetota; Coriobacteriia; Eggerthellales; Eggerthellaceae.